AUCAUGGCUCAGGAUGAACGCUAGCUACAGGCUUAACACAUGCAAGUCGAGGGGAAACGACAUCGAAAGCUUGCUUUGAUGGGCGUCGACCGGCGCACGGGUGAGUAACGCGUAUCCAACCUGCCCAUCACUUGGGGGAUAACCUUGCGAAAGUAAGACUAAUACCCAAUGACGUCUCUAGAAGACAUCUGAAAGAGAUUAAAGAUUUAUCGGUGAUGGAUGGGGAUGCGUCUGAUUAGCUUGUUGGCGGGGUAACGGCCCACCAAGGCGACGAUCAGUAGGGGUUCUGAGAGGAAGGUCCCCCACAUUGGAACUGAGACACGGUCCAAACUCCUACGGGAGGCAGCAGUGAGGAAUAUUGGUCAAUGGGCGAGAGCCUGAACCAGCCAAGUAGCGUGCAGGAUGACGGCCCUAUGGGUUGUAAACUGCUUUUAUAAGGGAAUAAAGUGAGUCUCGUGAGACUUUUUGCAUGUACCUUAUGAAUAAGGACCGGCUAAUUCCGUG
RNAcentral lists this ribosomal RNA (504 nucleotides) under uncultured bacterium. RNAcentral's name for it is "bacterial SSU rRNA". It matches the Rfam family "Bacterial small subunit ribosomal RNA", at positions 16 to 507 of the family's 1533-position model. The record is from RNAcentral.